AUUCUAUGCUCUGUGGGUCUCCUGAAGGGACUCAGUGAAUUCUCGGAGGAGACACCUUGCAACACGUUCCUGUGCAAAUCCUGCAGGAAAUCUAGGGGUUUCUCCCUGGACUUGGUUGGCUUUAACCCCUUCUCCUGGCCUCGUGUAUGCCCCACUUCAGGAGGGAGGACAGCUUCAGUAAAUGCACUAGGAUCCAGAGAGGCUGGAGUGCAGUGACAUGAUUUUGACUCACUGCAACCUCUGCCUCUCAGGUUCAAGCGAUUCUUGUGCCUCAGAUUCCCAAGUAGCUAGGAUUACAGGUCCUGAAAAGGUUGCAUCAGCCCUUUAGCCAUUACCUGCCUCUUGAUGAAGCGUCAGAGCAGGUGUGCAUACACCUGCCAGCACAGAAAAACCUUAACGUAAAGUUG
Molecule: long non-coding RNA, 407 nt
Filed under: Homo sapiens (human)
Lineage: Eukaryota; Metazoa; Chordata; Mammalia; Primates; Hominidae
Description: non-protein coding lnc-ALDH1A2-9:4
Source: RNAcentral